CUUCUGGGUCCUCAUUGUAAAUUCUUAGUAGAAUCUGCUUGGUUCAGCUUGGAUCAUAUUUGUUCCUUGAGCCAUUCACCUGUAGCCAGGAAGGUUAGGAUCAUAUAGUGAUAUCAGAGUUGCAGAGACCCACCCCUUUGGGUUUUCAGAGAAGGAGAUCAUGAAGGACCCAAGAGGCUAUGAAAUUUGGUUGUGGAAAGCUCUUCCUGAAGGCAAUGCUGUUGGGGAAUGGGGGGCAUCUAGCAGGACCAGAGACAGAUGAAUUUGGGGCUGUUGCACCUAGGCAAAAAAAUAGGCUCCUGCACUAAGUAGUGACUAUUGGAUGGAGAGCUGAAGAAGGAAAAAUUAGGAGGGAGAACCAACCAACUACCUUUGGUGACUGAUUUGAUGGGGGAGAUGAGACUGGGUUUAGGUAAGAGGACAGGAAAACUGGUUAACAAGAUGGUGAUUUUGAGGUGCCUGUGGAACAACUAAGAAGAUGUGUCCCAUGGGCAGUUGUGGGCAGUUAGAGCUUAAAAGAGUGAUCUGGGUCGGAGUGAGGUGGUGGUUCCAGCUGGGAAUGAGGAUAAGAUAAUCAGGGAGAAUGUGUGGAGUGAGAAGCCAGAACCCAGGGAGGGCUACUAAUGGAUAAGGGGCAGUCAAUUAGGAGUCUGAACAGGUGUGAUUGAAGAGUUGAGAACUAGCAUGGAGUGCUGUCAUGGAAAUCAGCAGAGAGUAUUGUCAGGAAAGUUGACGGGAAAUGCUGCAGACAGAUCCAAUGACACAGAGCCUGGAGAGAAUCUUUUCAACCUAGCAGCAAGGCUCCUCUGUCCAUGGGGAUUCUCCAGGCAAGAAUACUGGAAUGGGUUGCCAUGCCCUCCUCCUGGGGAUCUUCCCAACCCAGGGAUCGAACCCAGGUCUCCCACACUGCAGGUGAUUCUUCACCAUCUGAGCCACCAGGGAAGCCCAGUAUGAACUCUCUGCCAUGUGAAUUGGAGACAUAUAGAGACAUUUCCUGCUGACAUCAGAAUCUGUGAUGCUGUGGUGACCUCUGUCUGAGCAGCAAGGACUUCUCUGUAACACAGAACUCAGCAGCCCAGGCUGAAGAAAAAGAAUGCAUAUGAUUAGAAUGGUCAGGUUUGGGGGUUUUGCUGAAUGUAGGGGACAGAAUGGCAAAAAGGAAGGGGUAAUGGGCAUAGAGAAG
This is a long non-coding RNA of Bos taurus (domestic cattle), 1183 nucleotides long. NCBI's taxonomy places the organism in Eukaryota, Metazoa, Chordata, Mammalia, Artiodactyla, Bovidae. The record is from Ensembl.